This 253-nucleotide ribosomal RNA is filed under the name uncultured bacterium. RNAcentral describes it as "partial 16S ribosomal RNA". It matches the Rfam family "Bacterial small subunit ribosomal RNA", at positions 524 to 776 of the family's 1533-position model. The record is from RNAcentral.
UACGUAGGUGGCAAGCGUUAUCCGGAUUUACUGGGUGUAAAGGGCGUGUAGGCGGCUCUGCAAGUUGGAUGUGAAAUUCCCGGGCUUAACCCGGGCGCUGCAUCCAAAACUGCGGAACUUGAGUACUGGAGAGGAUAGUGGAAUUCCUAGUGUAGCGGUAAAAUGCGUAGAUAUUAGGAGGAACACCGGUGGCGAAGGCGGCUAUCUGGACAGUAACUGACGCUGAGGCGCGAAAGCGUGGGGAGCAAACAGG